GAUUCUUGACUCUAUCACUCCUUAAAGCUUCUUGACCUUGGGCAAGUUUUCCGAGCCUCAGUGUCCCCAUCUGUAAAAUGGGAGCAUCCUGCCAUUUGGUGAGUAUGGAGGCCCUGUGAGGACGGGAACUCGCCCACCGUGCCCGCAGGCUCACCUGUUCAGGAUCCAGACCUCCUUGCUGCAGGCCAGGGCUGCGCGGAGCUUGUCAGCUUCGUUGACCAGGGUGGCUUUCCGGAACUGGUCCCAGGCGAAGUCCCACUCCUCCUCGCCGCCCUGGGCGAUGGCGUUGCAGUAGACGGUGGACCGCAG
Pipistrellus kuhlii (Kuhl's pipistrelle) is the source of this 309-nucleotide long non-coding RNA. RefSeq lists it as uncharacterized. The transcript has 2 exons. NCBI's taxonomy places the organism in Eukaryota, Metazoa, Chordata, Mammalia, Chiroptera, Vespertilionidae. The record is from RefSeq and is a predicted model, not a curated record.